RNAcentral lists this ribosomal RNA (230 nucleotides) under uncultured bacterium. Its description in RNAcentral is "partial 16S ribosomal RNA". It matches the Rfam family "Bacterial small subunit ribosomal RNA", at positions 563 to 791 of the family's 1533-position model. The record is from RNAcentral.
AAGCGUGCGCAGGCGGUUAUGUAAGACAGAUGUGAAAUCCCCCGGGCUCAACCUGGGAACUGCAUUAGUGACUGCAUAGCUGGAGUACGGCAGAGGGGGAUGGAAUUCCGCGUGUAGCAGUGAAAUGCGUAGAUAUGCGGAGGAACACCGAUGGCGAAGGCAAUCCCCUGGGCCUGUACUGACGCUCAUGCACGAAAGCGUGGGGAGCAAACAGGAUUAGAUACCCUAGU